RNAcentral lists this ribosomal RNA (497 nucleotides) under uncultured bacterium. Its description in RNAcentral is "partial 16S ribosomal RNA". It matches the Rfam family "Bacterial small subunit ribosomal RNA", at positions 28 to 507 of the family's 1533-position model. The record is from RNAcentral.
GACGAACGCUGGCGGCGUGCCUAAUACAUGCAAGUUGAGCGCUGAAGGUUGGUACUUGUACCAACUGGAUGAGCAGCGAACGGGUGAGUAACGCGUGGGGAAUCUGCCUUUGAGCGGGGGACAACAUUUGGAAACGAAUGCUAAUACCGCAUAAAAACUUUAAACACAAGUUUUAAGUUUGAAAGAUGCAAUUGCAUCACUCAAAGAUGAUCCCGCGUUGUAUUAGCUAGUUGGUGAGGUAAAGGCUCACCAAGGCGAUGAUACAUAGCCGACCUGAGAGGGUGGUCGGCAACAUUGGGACUGAGACACGGCCCAAACUCCUACGGGAGGCAGCAGUAGGGAAUCUUCGGCAAGGGACGAAAGUCUGACCGAGCAACGCCGCGGGAGUGAAGAAGGUUUUCGGAUCGUAAAACUCUGUUGGUAGAGAAGAACGUUGGUGAGAGUGGAAAGCUCAUCAAGUGACGGUAACUACCCAGAAAGGGACGGCUAACUACGUG